UACAGAGGAGCCAAGCGUUGUCCGGAUUGACUGGGCGUAAAGCGCACGCAGGCGGAUGCGCGCGUGGGGUGUGAAAUCUGGCCGCUUAACGGCCAGGCGCCAUCCCAUACGGCGCGUCUGGAGUGAUGCAGAGGUCGAUGGAAUUGCCGGUGUAGUGGUGAAAUGCUUAGAUAUGACAUAGAACACCAAUUGCGAAGGCAGCUGACUACGCGAAUAUUGACACUGAUGCACGAAAGCGUGGGGAUCAAACAGG
This 253-nucleotide ribosomal RNA is filed under the name uncultured bacterium. RNAcentral's name for it is "partial 16S ribosomal RNA". It matches the Rfam family "Bacterial small subunit ribosomal RNA", at positions 524 to 776 of the family's 1533-position model. The record is from RNAcentral.